This 283-nucleotide long non-coding RNA is filed under the name Elaeis guineensis (African oil palm). RNAcentral describes it as "long non-coding RNA (EGUI_LNC058325)". Lineage: Eukaryota; Viridiplantae; Streptophyta; Magnoliopsida; Arecales; Arecaceae. The record is from RNAcentral.
GGCAAGUCACGACAACGGACACCACUCCACUCUCUGCAGCAAGCUCCACGUGGCCCUGGGUGACCUCUGAUGCCACUACUCUCCGUAACAAACUCUGCAUGUCUCUGAAUGACCCACUUUCAGACAGUUACAGACGUCACUGUCAGUCAGUUAUGCUCUUCGUCUAUAAAUAAGAACCCCCAGAUACAUUCUUUUCUAAGCUCUAAACUCUAUCUCGAAACUCUGCAAAAAUUUUCGCUCGAGCACUCCAUUUCUAUUGAAGCAGAGUACUGACUUGAGCGUC